Molecule: ribosomal RNA, 274 nt
Filed under: uncultured bacterium
Lineage: Bacteria
Description: partial 16S ribosomal RNA
Rfam family: Bacterial small subunit ribosomal RNA
Source: RNAcentral
AUACGGAGGGUGCAAGCGUUAUCCGGAUUCAUUGGGUUUAAAGGGUGCGCAGGCGGAAUGAUAAGUCAGUGGUGAAAUCCUACAGCUUAACUGUAGAACUGCCAUUGAUACUGUCAUUCUUGAGUACACUUGAAGUGGGCGGAAUGUAUCAUGUAGCGGUGAAAUGCAUAGAUAUGAUACAGAACUCCGAUAGCGAAGGCAGCUCACUAAAUUGUAACUGACGCUCAGGCACGAAAGCGUGGGGAGCAAACAGGAUUAGAAACCCGGGUAGUCC